UACGUAGGGGGCAAGCGUUAUCCGGAUUUACUGGGUGUAAAGGGAGCGUAGGCGGUGCAGCAAGUCAGAAGUGAAAGCCCGGGGCUCAACUCCGGGACUGCUUUUGAAACUGUUGGACUAGAUUGCAGGAGAGGUAAGUGGAAUUCCUAGUGUAGCGGUGAAAUGCGUAGAUAUCACACAGAACACCGAUUGCGAAGGCAUCUGACGAAUCGGAGAUUGACGCUGAUGCACGAAAGCGUGGGUAUCGAACAGG
RNAcentral lists this ribosomal RNA (253 nucleotides) under uncultured Coprococcus sp. RNAcentral describes it as "partial 16S ribosomal RNA". It matches the Rfam family "Bacterial small subunit ribosomal RNA", at positions 524 to 776 of the family's 1533-position model. Lineage: Bacteria; Bacillati; Bacillota; Clostridia; Lachnospirales; Lachnospiraceae. The record is from RNAcentral.